AGUUUAUUUUAUUAAGAUUAAGAUAAAAUAAACGUUGUUUUUUUAUUAUGGGAAAUGUUUUUUUUAGGUCUUAAUUAAUAUCUUAAAAUUUUAUAAGGAGUGAUUAGAGUUAAACAAUAAUAAAUUUGAUUUAGUAAGGCUUUUUAUCGGAUAAAAAUAAGUGCCAGUAAUCACGGUUAUACUUAUCGAUAUAAAAAUUAUAUAAUUAAAAAUAUAUGAAUUUUUAUAAUAGUUGUGAAAAUUAAUAUAAAAAUUUUUAAUAAACUUAUUAACAUGGAUUAGAUACCCAUCUAUAAAAUAUAUUAAAUAUAAAUUAAUAUAAAUAUAAAUAAUUAGACGGUAAAUUAUAUACAGAGGUGCUUGUUUUUUAAUAUGAUAAUCCGCAUUAAUCCUAUCUUUUAUAAAGUGUAUGUCCGUUUUAUAUAAAAUUAUUUUAUAUUUUUUCAGGUCUCCAUGCUAUUAUGAUAGUUUUUUAUGAGCAGCAGUAGUUUUUUUAAUUUUUGUUGAAAAACUUAAGUAAAAGAGGAUUUGUAAGUAAAUUAAUGUUAUUAACUUUUUUUGAAUAUAUUAAUUUUGAGUACUCACCGCCCGCUAAUAAGGUUGUAAAAUUUUAUAAAGCGUAACAAGGUAAGUUUUCUAGAAAGAGAACUUGGUUAUAU
Molecule: ribosomal RNA, 659 nt
Filed under: Botryllus gaiae
Lineage: Eukaryota; Metazoa; Chordata; Ascidiacea; Stolidobranchia; Styelidae
Description: small ribosomal RNA
Source: RNAcentral